Molecule: non-coding RNA, 201 nt
Filed under: Turicibacter sp.
Lineage: Bacteria; Bacillati; Bacillota; Erysipelotrichia; Erysipelotrichales; Turicibacteraceae
Description: T-box sequence
Rfam family: T-box leader
About the family: Uncharged tRNA acts as the effector for transcription antitermination of genes in the T-box leader family.
Source: RNAcentral
ACUAGUGCAAUGAUAAGAAUUUAGUAGUGAUUAUUAAGAGCAGUCACAGAGACUUAGUGGUAGGUGAGAACUAAGGCAGUAAUAAUCACGAAUUACACUCUUGGAGCAUGUUCAUAUGAACCGGUCUUUACCGUUAUCAAAUUGAGUGGUUGAAUCAUAGAUUUAACAAGUUGGGUGGUACCGCGAACUUUCGUCCCUUCA